This 63-nucleotide small RNA is filed under the name Arabidopsis thaliana (thale cress). RNAcentral's name for it is "ATSL293170". The record is from RNAcentral. Lineage: Eukaryota; Viridiplantae; Streptophyta; Magnoliopsida; Brassicales; Brassicaceae.
CCCUCUUCCACCACUCACCUGAUGAAUCGCAUAAAAAAAAUUUUAAGAAGAAGAAGAAAAAAA